This 818-nucleotide long non-coding RNA is filed under the name Homo sapiens (human). Its description in RNAcentral is "non-protein coding LINC01913:10". The record is from RNAcentral. Lineage: Eukaryota; Metazoa; Chordata; Mammalia; Primates; Hominidae.
CGGAUCUGGAAUGGAAGCAAAUAAUAACCGGGUCUCCAGAUUCCAUCGUAUCACAGAACAUAGAACCAAGAAAGUACCUUAGAAGUCAUCUGAUCCAGUCACCCCUGUUUUACCAAUGAGGAAUCUAGACCCAGAAGAAGUUAAAGGACUUACCCAAGAGUACCCAACAACUCUCUCACCACCCCAGGCUCCCAUCUUUGUGUCUCUCCUGUGUGAGCUGUUCCCUGAAGUUCUUCCUGAACUUGCACAUUGCCUUUCCCUUUGAUUUUAAAUCCUUGGCUCAAAUGACAUGCCCGGACUAUAUCGUGUGAUAUGAGCUUGAAAAGUAAUUUACGUACAAGUCUUGAAAGCAAAUCAAGUUUUAAAACAAAGUAGCAUCUACUCUGCCCCAGCCUUGACAUCUUAUUACAUAGCAAAUGCUGGCUUUUUAAUUUCCCUAAUCAAGACUGGUCCUAUUUAGCCCACCUCCUCAAGGGGUCCCAGCACUAGCCCCACUCCGACGCCUGAUGAAGUUCCAGAACAGUGGAAUCAAGCACAGAGAUGGGCACGCCUCUUUACAGAACCAAAGAUUCAGAACUGUGCCUUACCCUUUGCUUAUGAGGCGGAGGAGGAGGAAGAGAAAGAACCACCGCAAAGAGAGAUGGCAACAAAGGUAAAAUGAAGGCCGGGCAGCCGAUCCCACUCAGGCUGACCACAGUGAGGGAGCAGCAUUAAAAUGAGAAAGGAUCAGGUCUCGAAGCCCAGCCCUUCCCGCUGAAUCUCGUCCUUUGCUUCAUCCAUUCCAUUAAAUAAGUCAUAUUGAAAAUAAAUUAUUAUUA